GUAUAGCUAAAAGACAGGAAAACUUUUGCUCCUCUGUCAAAACCCUGAACCCUCACCCUCCCACCCUGAGAGAACACGCCAGUCCUUGCCCCUCCCACCUUUCCCUUCCUUCCUCCCCGUCCCUGCCUCCCCUACCCAACCCUAGUGUAGGUGGCGGCUGUUCUUGGACAUGAAAGAAGCAGAUGAUGAAGAUAAGAACAGGGACAAAGGGAAACAAACUCACCAGGCAAUCUUGGAGCAGUAUGGAAAAUUCCUGAUGGGCACGCAGGUGCCGGGUGAAACUAUGGCACAAGGAACUCCAAUCAGUCAUGGACCAGUCCCAGUUGAUCCAGUAACAUCGGUUCAU
Long non-coding RNA from Triticum aestivum (bread wheat), 346 nucleotides. RefSeq lists it as uncharacterized. Lineage: Eukaryota; Viridiplantae; Streptophyta; Magnoliopsida; Poales; Poaceae. The transcript has 3 exons. The record is from RefSeq and is a predicted model, not a curated record.